AGAACAACCUCUCUCUCUCCAGCAGAGAGUGUCACCUCCUGCUUUAGGACCAUCAAGCUCUGCUAACUGAAUCUCAUCCUAAUUGCAGGAUCACAUUGCAAAGCUUUCACUCUUUCCCACCUUGCUUGUGGGUAAAUCUCUUCUGCGGAAUCUCAGAAAGUAAAGUUCCAUCCUGAGAAUAUUUCACAAAGAAUUUCCUUAAGAGCUGGACUGGCCACCUCAGAUACUUUUAUAGAUCAAGGAGUAAGGAACAGAAUUCAAAAGACAGACAUGGACAUCAGAAACAAAUGGCCAAGAGUUUUCCCAGCAGACAGACAGCAUGAGUUGCAGGGCGUUAGGAAAAACUAUACAGUGCUUGGUGUAAACUUUUGGAUGGUAAAGCCUUAUCUGCCUUUUCGACUGGGACAAUGGGUCCUACGAUGAUACACCAACCACUUGUGCUACCAUCUGUCAAAACUUUGGAUGGCCCUACUUUCAGGUCUUGACCCCUGAAUUUAAGAAAUUCUUAAAGACAAUGUCAAAUAUGAUCCAAGAGAAAAUGUGAUUUGAGACUGGAGACAAUUGUGCAU
RNAcentral lists this long non-coding RNA (569 nucleotides) under Homo sapiens (human). Its description in RNAcentral is "non-protein coding lnc-TFPI-1:2". Lineage: Eukaryota; Metazoa; Chordata; Mammalia; Primates; Hominidae. The record is from RNAcentral.